GAUGAACGCUCGCUACAGGCUUAACACAUGCAAGUCGAGGGGCAGCGGUAUCGAAAGCUUGCUUUCGGUAGCCGGCGACCGGCGCACGGGUGAGUAACGCGUAUCGAACCUGCCUCAUACUCGGGAAUAGCCUUGCGAAAGUAAGAUUAAUGCCCGGUGUUUUCAGAGUCCCGCAUGAGGCUUUGAACAAAGAUUUAUCGGUAUGAGAUGGCGAUGCGUCCCAUUAGCUAGUUGGCGGGGUAACGGCCCACCAAGGCAUCGAUGGGUAGGGGUUCUGAGAGGAAGGUCCCCCACAUUGGAACUGAGACACGGUCCAAACUCCUACGGGAGGCAGCAGUGAGGAAUAUUGGUCAAUGGGCGGAAGCCUGAACCAGCCAAGUAGCGUGCAGGAAGACGGCCCUCCGGGUUGUAAACUGCUUUUAGUUGGGAAUAAAACGGGGCUCGUGAGCCCCCUUGCAUGUACCAUCAGAAAAAGGACCGGCUAAUUCCGUG
RNAcentral lists this ribosomal RNA (492 nucleotides) under uncultured bacterium. RNAcentral's name for it is "partial 16S ribosomal RNA". It matches the Rfam family "Bacterial small subunit ribosomal RNA", at positions 28 to 507 of the family's 1533-position model. The record is from RNAcentral.